This 1221-nucleotide long non-coding RNA is filed under the name Marmota monax (woodchuck). The record is from RNAcentral. Lineage: Eukaryota; Metazoa; Chordata; Mammalia; Rodentia; Sciuridae.
AAAAAACCCAAGAAGAACAAUUUUGAAGGUAGAUAAGUUUAUUUGAAGGCUCAUGGUUUCAGAGGUCUCAAUCCAUAGAGAGCUGGCUCCAUUCUCAGGGGUAGAGGUGAGGCAGAACAUCAUGGCAGAUGAGUGUGGUAGAGGGAAGUGGCUCAAGACAUCAUACCAGGAAGCAGAGAGAGAGACUGAGGUCAGCUCACCAAAUAUAUACUCCAAAGGCACGCUCCCAACUGUUGUAGGGACAGACGAGGCAAGGCCCUGAAGAUAGCUGGAAACAGUUUUAUUUGGCUGCAGCCAGGUUCAGAGGGCACAGCUUUUGCUGUAAUCAAUCAAUCCCCUGAACCCCGAGUUCAGGGAGUUUCAGAGUUUUAUACCCAGCAUGUAAGGGGAGGGGCUCAGAAGUUCACACUCUGCAGAAGUUCAUAUAAAAGCAGCUUUUUCUUUCACCGUUCUGGGCAAGUUAACCCUUCAAGGACAACACCUGAGAAGGGGAGAGCUUCUUCUCCCCUUUCUUUCUUCCCCCUGCCAGCUGUUACCAUGGAGCCCAAUUGGUCACUUCUCUUAUCAUAAAAAUGUAGACAUCUCUGUGAAGCCCAGCUCAAGGUCAGAGACCUUGUUUACACAUUUCUACAAACUACUAUACUGGAUAUAUUUGUGAAAAAUUAGUAAGGGUGUGUCCUGUACCUGAAGUGCUGAUAACUUCCCGGCCAGUGGCCAAGUAAAACAGGGCAACAUGAAAAUAGGAAGUUUAUCUACAUUGGACUCUUUUGCUGACAGUCCUAAAAUCAGCCAUGGUGAAGAGGGCUUUUCUGUGGAGAAAGGGGGUGCCACUUCACAACUAAGUGUUAGAAUGGAACUGAUACAUGGAUCCUUUUUGUAGAUGCUUCAUAUUUCCCCAGGCUGAGUGGGGUUGGGCAGGGUGGUUCUUCAGGGUCCCCUGUGACUGUCUUCCUAGGAUGAUGCAGGUACACCCUGCUUGGUGCAGCCUGUCCUUGUGUUCAUAGCAUGUGUGUGUGACAGGUAGAAUGUGCAUGGAAACAGUGCCACAGUGCACAUGCCCAUAGCUUCCAUCAUUCCUGAUGUGUGUAACCUUAUUUGUCUCAUCUCCCCAAAGCCAGAAAGUGUAAUCAGCCUCUCUUAGCCCCAUGAAUGUGGAGGGAGGGGUGGGUCACCUAAGUGAAUGUGAGGUGCUCUAUUAGAAUGGGCUUGGAUGAGAGCCAG